This is a non-coding RNA of Paramuricea clavata, 2261 nucleotides long. NCBI's taxonomy places the organism in Eukaryota, Metazoa, Cnidaria, Anthozoa, Malacalcyonacea, Plexauridae. The record is from the annotation of a GenBank genome assembly.
CAAAAUAUUUUAACACCAGUUACCAAGGGAUAUUGGCUCACAAAUAAUACGCUAUUUUAUUACAGUCUGCACUCAGUCACUAAUUCGUGGAGAUACUGUACGACUUCGAAGCGUAUGUAUCCGACAACAGCACUUAUUAUAUACCCUGAACAAAAUUUGUUAAAAACCGGAGCGGUCCUUGGUGAUUAGCUUUCCAACAAUUCUCUAGCAACAAUACAAAUUCAACACGAAGCAGACCAUAAGGUGAGUAUAAAUUUUAGUUUGGACGUAAGCUUAUGUCAAGUACUAUUCAUUAAAUCUACUAUAAUAAUGUGAUCUACAUUAUAUUAUGAUUGGAAAAACUCUCUUAGAAUGCCAGAUGGAUAAAGAAUAUACAUAACAUUCCGUUAUUAGUCAUUGCUAGAUUAACUACAUCGCCUCGGUUGGCUAAUUUAUUUUGCUACAUUUCGCCAGGUGGAAAUAAAGCUAUAAAGGGACUGGCAUCCUAAAUUUCUUGCUAGAACAUCUCAACACUUUGCACCUGUUUCAAGUCUCUGUUAAGAACCAUUUCUCUUCGCAACACUCUGUUAGUUGCCAUGUAAAUAUUUAUCUCUUCUAGACGUAUUUCGACAAAUAAUUAAUUUUUCAUUGUGAUUUUAGCCAAUACUCAACCUUUUAAAGCCUCUUAACUCGCAAAAAGGCAAUUUUCGUUGGGAUGAGUUAAUUACCCUAAUAAAAUGUUUGGUAUAAUCCAUAGUAUGCUUACUUCUAUAUGUUUUUGUAUAAAAAAUACAAAACAAGUGUAACUCCAAAGAUCGAUAACAUUUUCAUAUUUAUCUACGUUUCGACUAUAUUUCAGUCAUCAUCAGGAUAAACUAGAUAGGUUAUACAUCAAAAGCAGUAUAUGAAGAAAUAUGAUACAGUCAUUAGGUUGAUUAUUUGUGAAUUAAUCAAAUAUGAUUAGUUCUUCAGAAGCUUUAAUUCCAUUCAUAUUAAGUUCAAGUUUAUAUCUUUGGAUAGCAAGGGAUUCUUGAUACAGCAAAAGGAACCAAUGGUUAUAGAUUUAUCAAUUACUUUAGUAUUGCGGAAAACAUGUUCAGCCAUUAUACUGGUUUAAUUAGACUUUGCGUCAUCGUCGGGAUAUAGUUUUAAAAGGGCUUUAAUAUGCUGAAACUGCUCGCAAGUAGAGAGGUGUUGAUAGAUUACAGAUUCUGUGUGAUAUGAGUGUUCCUUAGUUCUGGUGUAUAAGCAGCGGUCAGUUUUGCCGAUGUACCUAUACUAUUACAUCCAGGGCAAGUAAAUUCAUAGACGACGACAGAGCUUUGAUAAGUUUUCGAGGUUUUAUCUUUGCAUGAUACAAAUACGUUGCUGUCAAUGGUUCUCCAGAUAAUAAUGAAUCGGCAUUUUGAUGCGAGAAGAGGGGUUAUUAUGACGGAAUUUGAGAGUUGUUAAUAUAACAUAAUCAUUAAUUCAGGACUAAUAAGAUUUUACAAACGUUACGUUCACGACACCCUUAUCUUCAUGAGACCAUCUGACGUACAACUAAUUCUUACUCAGUUUAACUCUUUCCAUCCUAACUUACAAUUUACCGUGAAAAAAUUCAGCGACAAUGACAUCCAUUUCCUCAGUUGACAUCCACAUUCAUCCCUCUAGAACUUCUGUCUAUAGAAAGCCGACUCAUGCGGGUCAAUACUCCCACAUAUCAAGCUUCACACCAUAGUCAAGAAAAAUUGCUUGGAUCCGAGUUCUCAUAAAUCAUGCCUACAAAAUUCGCAGUAAUGCCACUCCCCCGAACAAUGAGUUAAACUACUAAAAUCUGGUUACAGCUACUAUAUCUUGGCAAAUUUGGUGAAAGACUAACUCGUUCGUUGAUGCGCAAAAUAACCCCUUUCUUCACAUCAAGAAUCCCUGGGUAUUCAAAGAUAUAAACCUGAACUUAAUUAAUUAAUCAGGGAAUUAAAGCUUCUAGCUAGAACUAAUCAUAUUUAAUUAAUUCAUUCAUUAAGAAUCAACCUAAUGACUGUAUCAUAUUUCUUCAUAUAAAUACUGUAUUGCUUUUGAUGUAUAACCUAUAGCUAGUUUAUCCUGACGAUGACUGAAAUAUAGUCGAAACGUAGAUAAAUAUAAAAAUGUUGUCGAUCUUUGGAGUUACACUUGUUUUGUAUUUUGUUUAAAUACUCAGUGGUUCUAAAAAUGUAUAUAUAGGUCUACACACAAUUCAAUGAAUCGGAGUUUGUCAUAGUCAGUUCACAUAACCCCAAGCGUCAUGGACUUACCUGAGG